Molecule: long non-coding RNA, 479 nt
Filed under: Setaria viridis
Lineage: Eukaryota; Viridiplantae; Streptophyta; Magnoliopsida; Poales; Poaceae
Description: long non-coding RNA (SVIR_LNC008324)
Source: RNAcentral
UUUGCUUAUACUAACAAGUGGGCUAGCUAGCAAAGCCAAAAUCUUAACCUUAUGCAUAGGCUAAACAUUGCCAAGAAUCUGUCUCUGACAUCAUUCCACUUAGCACACCCAUCACCUUAAAGGCUUAUAAACUAUGCAAACAUUGAGGCAUGCCAUGCUUUCUUCCAUUUCCAUUGCACGGAAGCUCUUUUUACUGACUCUUGCCGUCUCAACUUCAAGAUCUCACUGUCCAAUCGUCCAAUCCAAUGUGUGUGAACUUUGAAAUAUGUGAGAGAACACAUCUAAUGCUCUUGCCCCUUCAGGCACUCCCAUGAUCAAGUAGAUCAAAGCAGUGAAAAUGGUCAUGAGUAUUUUCUAAAAAUUUGCACAACAUUCUAAAUUCGAUCUAAAAUGCCCCCCAAAACCCAACCUCAACCCUAAACUCUAUGUUUUUACAAAAAAGUACCAAACUCUACCAACAAGAAAACCUGAAAAUAGCA